RNAcentral lists this ribosomal RNA (497 nucleotides) under uncultured bacterium. Its description in RNAcentral is "partial 16S ribosomal RNA". It matches the Rfam family "Bacterial small subunit ribosomal RNA", at positions 28 to 507 of the family's 1533-position model. The record is from RNAcentral.
GACGAACGCUGGCGGCGUGCCUAAUACAUGCAAGUUGAGCGCUGAAGGUUGGUACUUGUACCAACUGGAUGAGCAGCGAACGGGUGAGUAACGCGUGGGGAAUCUGCCUUUGAGCGGGGGACAACAUUUGGAAACGAAUGCUAAUACCGCAUAAAAACUUUAAACACAAGUUUUAAGUUUCAAAGAUGCAAUUGCAUCACUCAAAGAUGAUCCCGCGUUGUAUUAGCUAGUUGGUGAGGUAAAGGCUCACCAAGGCGAUGAUACAUAGCCGACCUGAGAGGGUGAUCGGCCACAUUGGGACUGAGACACGGCCCAAACUCCUACGGGAGGCAGCAGUAGGGAAUCUUCGGCAAUGGACGAAAGUCUGACCGAGCAACGCCGCGUGAGUGAAGAAGGUUUUCGGAUCGUAAAACUCUGUUGGUAGAGAAGAACGUUGGUGAGAGUGGAAAGCUCAUCAAGUGACGGUAACUACCCAGAAAGGGACGGCUAACUACGUG